Molecule: non-coding RNA, 150 nt
Filed under: Ruegeria sp. TM1040
Lineage: Bacteria; Pseudomonadati; Pseudomonadota; Alphaproteobacteria; Rhodobacterales; Roseobacteraceae
Description: Ruegeria cis2 sRNA
Rfam family: Ruegeria cis2 sRNA
About the family: Cis-encoded. Targets ABC transporter.
Source: Rfam by way of RNAcentral
GGUGACAUGGGGAUUAUAGUUGAUGAAGAUAUAGCCACGUGCCUGAUCGAUCGUAUGGAACAGAGGGUUCCAGAUGAACAUUGGCAGCAUGUAGCCCGGCAGGGUGUUCGCCAGCACCAUUUUGCCUGAAAACAACAUGUUGGAGCGCUG